CCCUUAGAUGUUCUGGGCCGCACACGCGCUACACUGAAGGAGGCAGCGUGUACUCCUGGAUCGAAAGAUUUGGGUAACCCGCGAAUCUCCUUCGUGCUAGGGAUUGAGGUUUGCAAUUAUCCUUCAUGAACGAGGAAUUCCCAGUAAGUGCAAGUCAUAAGCUUGCGCUGACUACGUCCCUGCCCUUUGUACACACCGCCCGUCGCUACUACCGAUUGAAUGAUUUAGUGAGGACUUCGGACUGGGACCGAUGCGGCUUUCGGGCUGCGUCGGCAUUCUGGAAAGAUGUCCAAACUGUAUCAUUUAGAGGAAGUAAAANUCGUAACA
RNAcentral lists this ribosomal RNA (327 nucleotides) under uncultured eukaryote. Its description in RNAcentral is "partial 18S ribosomal RNA". It matches the Rfam family "Eukaryotic small subunit ribosomal RNA", at positions 1470 to 1796 of the family's 1831-position model. The record is from RNAcentral.